Molecule: ribosomal RNA, 237 nt
Filed under: uncultured bacterium
Lineage: Bacteria
Description: partial 16S ribosomal RNA
Rfam family: Bacterial small subunit ribosomal RNA
Source: RNAcentral
GACGAACGCUGGCGGCGUGCUUAACACAUGCAAGUCGAACGGAUCGGCAGUGCUUGCACUGUUUGGUUAGUGGCGAACGGGUGAGUAACACGUGAGUAACCUGCCCUCUUCUUUGGGAUAAGCACCUGAAAGGGUGUCUAAUACUGGAUAUUCUGCUGAAACUGCAUGGUUUUGGUUGGAAAGGGUUUCUGGUGGGGGAUGGGCUCGCGGCUUAUCAGCUUGUUGGUGGGGUAAUGG